This is a long non-coding RNA of Oncorhynchus keta (chum salmon), 321 nucleotides long. RefSeq lists it as uncharacterized. The transcript is spliced from 4 exons. NCBI's taxonomy places the organism in Eukaryota, Metazoa, Chordata, Actinopteri, Salmoniformes, Salmonidae. The record is from RefSeq and is a predicted model, not a curated record.
CCAGCUAGGUAAUCUAGUUAGCAUUGAGAAUAUGUCUCCAGCUAGGUAAUCUAGUUAGCAUUGAGAAUAUGUCUCCAGCUAGGUAAUCUAGUUAGCAUUGAGAAUAUGUCUCCAGCUAGGUAAUCUAGUUAGCAUUGAGAAUAUGUCUCCAGCUAGGUAAUCUAGUUAGCAUUGAGAAUAUGUCUCCAGCUAGGUAAUCUAGUUAGCAUUGAGAAUAUGUCUCCAGCUAGGUAAUCUAGUUAGCAUUGAGAAUAUGUCUCCAGCUAGGUAAUCUAGUUAGCAUUGAGAAUAUGUCUCCAGCUAGGUAAUCUAGUUAGCAUU